CACGUAGGGGGCAAGCGUUGUCCGGAUUUAUUGGGCGUAAAGAGCUCGUAGGCGGCUUAGAAAGUCAGGUGUGAAACCUCCAGGCUCAACCUGGAGACGCCACUUGAUACUUCUAUGGCUUGAGUUCGGUAGGGGACCAUGGAAUUCCUGGUGUAGCGGUGAAAUGCGCAGAUAUCAGGAGGAACACCGAUGGCGAAGGCAGUGGUCUGGGCCGAUACUGACGCUGAGGAGCGAAAGCGUGGGGGAGCGAACAGG
RNAcentral lists this ribosomal RNA (255 nucleotides) under uncultured bacterium. RNAcentral's name for it is "partial 16S ribosomal RNA". It matches the Rfam family "Bacterial small subunit ribosomal RNA", at positions 524 to 776 of the family's 1533-position model. The record is from RNAcentral.